AUGCUCGGUGUUAAAAUUGGAGAAAAAGCAGGACUAGCAGAAUUCAAUGAGGAAGGAGCAUUGGACCAGUUUGCAUCCCUUGUAACAGGGAACGAACUUUUAAAGAAAAACCUAAUUAUGAUAUCUCACAACACAGCUAAACACUACACAUUGUACGUGAUCAACAAGUACACGAAAUCCAUCGACAUUCUUGACUCAUUGAAUUACAAACACGGAGACGGAAAAAGUACAUGGAAAACACACCAUAAGGAUCACGAAGAACUGGGUAGCCAAUGCGGACACUUCAUGGUUCAAUUUGCAAAAUACUGGAAUGGCAUUGAUCUCAUAAAAGAUGAUGAGGAUUUCAAUCAAAGCAACGUAGAUGCCGAGUGGAAACCAGAGUUCCUUUUUACAGCCAUAUUUGGUGAAACAAACCUAGUAAACUAG
RNAcentral lists this ribosomal RNA (426 nucleotides) under Triticum aestivum (bread wheat). RNAcentral's name for it is "partial small subunit ribosomal RNA". The record is from RNAcentral. Lineage: Eukaryota; Viridiplantae; Streptophyta; Magnoliopsida; Poales; Poaceae.